UUGAACGCUGGCGGAAUGCUUUACACAUGCAAGUCGAACGGCAGCACGGGGGCAACCCUGGUGGCGAGUGGCGAACGGGUGAGUAACAUAUCGGAACAUAUCCUAUCGUGGGGGAUAACUAGUCGAAAGAUUAGCUAAUACCGCAUACGUCCUGAGGGAGAAAGCGGGGGAUCUCAAGACCUCGCGCGAUUGGAGUGGCCGAUAGCUGAUUAGCUAGAUGGUGAGGUAAAGGCUCACCAUGGCGAUGAUCAGUAGCUGGUCUGAGAGGAUGAUCAGCCACACUGGGACUGAGACACGGCCCAGACUCCUACGGGAGGCAGCAGUGGGGAAUUUUGGACAAUGGGGGCAACCCUGAUCCAGCCAUUCCGCGUGAGUGAAGAAGGCCUUCGGGUUGUAAAGCUCUUUCGGCAGGAACGAAACGGUGGUAUCUAAUACAUACCAUUACUGACGGUACCUGAAGAAGAAGCACCGGCUAACUACGU
This 482-nucleotide ribosomal RNA is filed under the name uncultured bacterium. RNAcentral describes it as "bacterial SSU rRNA". It matches the Rfam family "Bacterial small subunit ribosomal RNA", at positions 30 to 506 of the family's 1533-position model. The record is from RNAcentral.